This is a small nucleolar RNA of Cannabis sativa, 122 nucleotides long. RefSeq annotates it as small nucleolar RNA snoR77. The transcript has a single exon. Lineage: Eukaryota; Viridiplantae; Streptophyta; Magnoliopsida; Rosales; Cannabaceae. The record is from RefSeq and is a predicted model, not a curated record.
AAGCAACACUUCUGUAAUUUUUUAUGAUGGAUGAUGUGUUAUACUGCUCAUAAAUUUUUUUUUAUUGCUCUUCAGAUUUGUUGAGGUAACAUUGAAGCUGGUCUAGUAAGCUUUAGUACCUU